CCUUCGAUAGCUCAGCUGGUAGAGCGGAGGACUGUAGACUGGAUAGAGAGCAGUGGACAUCCUUAGGUCGCUGGUUCGACUCCGGCUCGAAGGA
This 94-nucleotide transfer RNA is filed under the name Marmota monax (woodchuck). It matches the Rfam family "tRNA". From Rfam's summary of the family: Transfer RNA (tRNA) molecules are approximately 80 nucleotides in length. Lineage: Eukaryota; Metazoa; Chordata; Mammalia; Rodentia; Sciuridae. The record is from Rfam by way of RNAcentral.